Molecule: ribosomal RNA, 763 nt
Filed under: Cercospora sp. Q JZG-2013
Lineage: Eukaryota; Fungi; Ascomycota; Dothideomycetes; Mycosphaerellales; Mycosphaerellaceae
Description: eukaryotic LSU rRNA
Rfam family: Eukaryotic large subunit ribosomal RNA
Source: RNAcentral
AGCGGCAACAGCUCAAAUUUGAAAUCUGGCGCAAGCCCGAGUUGUAAUUUGUAGAGGAUGCUUCUGGGUAGCGACCGAUCUAAGUUCCUUGGAACAGGACGUCAUAGAGGGUGAGAAUCCCGUAUGUGACCGGCCCGCACCCUUUACGUAGCUCCUUCGACGAGUCGAGUUGUUUGGGAAUGCAGCUCUAAAUGGGAGGUAAAUUUCUUCUAAAGCUAAAUACCGGCCAGAGACCGAUAGCGCACAAGUAGAGUGAUCGAAAGAUGAAAAGUACUUUGGAAAGAGAGUUAAAAAGCACGUGAAAUUGUUGAAAGGGAAGCGCCUGCAACCAGACUUCGCGGCAGUGUUCCGCCGGUCUUCUGACCGGUUCAUUCUCUGUCGCGAGGCCAUCAUCGUCUGGGCCCGCCGGAUAAGACCUGAGGAAUGUGGCUCCCCCUCGGGGGAGUGUUAUAGCCUCUGGUGAUGCGGCGUGGCUCGGGCGAGGUCCGCGCUUCGGCAAGGAUGAUGGCGUAAUGGUUGUCGGCGGCCCGUCUUGAAACACGGACCAAGGAGUCUAACAUCUAUGCGAGUGUUCGGGUGUCAAACCCCUACGCGUAAUGAAAGUGAACGGAGGUGGGAACCGCAAGGUGCACCAUCGACCGAUCCUGAUGUCCUCGGAUGGAUUUGAGUAAGAGCAUAGCUGUUGGGACCCGAAAGAUGGUGAACUAUGCCUGAAUAGGGUGAAGCCAGAGGAAACUCUGGUGGAGGCUCGCAGCGGUUCUGA